RNAcentral lists this ribosomal RNA (511 nucleotides) under uncultured bacterium. RNAcentral's name for it is "partial 16S ribosomal RNA". It matches the Rfam family "Bacterial small subunit ribosomal RNA", at positions 29 to 507 of the family's 1533-position model. The record is from RNAcentral.
ACGAACGCUGGCGGCGUGCCUAAUACAUGCCAGUCGCGCGAGCGAAACUAACAGAUUUACUUCGGUAAUGACGUUAGGAAAGCGAGCGGCGGAUGGGUGAGUAACACGUGGGGAACCUGCCCCAUAGUCUGGGAUACCACUUGGAAACAGGUGCUAAUACCGGAUAAGAAAGCAGAUCGCAUGAUCAGCUUUUAAAAGGCGGCGUAAGCUGUCGCUAUGGGAUGGCCCCGCGGUGCAUUAGCUAGUUGGUAAGGUAAAGGCUUACCAAGGCGAUGAUGCAUAGCCGAGUUGAGAGACUGAUCGGCCACAUUGGGACUGAGACACGGCCCAAACUCCUACGGGAGGCAGCAGUAGGGAAUCUUCCACAAUGGACGCAAGUCUGAUGGAGCAACGCCGCGUGAGUGAAGAAGGUUUUCGGAUCGUAAAGCUCUGUUGUUGGUGAAGAAGGAUAGAGGUAGUAACUGGCCUUUAUUUGACGGUAAUCAACCAGAAAGUCACGGCUAACUACGUG